RNAcentral lists this transfer RNA (68 nucleotides) under Salmo salar (Atlantic salmon). It matches the Rfam family "tRNA". Rfam says of the family: Transfer RNA (tRNA) molecules are approximately 80 nucleotides in length. Lineage: Eukaryota; Metazoa; Chordata; Actinopteri; Salmoniformes; Salmonidae. The record is from Rfam by way of RNAcentral.
CCCUGUGGCUCAGUUGGUAGAGCAUGGUGUUUGCAACGCCAGGGUUGUGGGUUCGAUUCCAACGAGGG